UUCAAUUAUAUAAUGUGCUCGCAUUUGAUAACUGACAUAUACACACUAAACUACUUGAACGUGGAUGUAUAUAAUCAUUAUCACAUGGAUUUGAAUGUGGGUACUCAUUGUCAUAUAGAUUUCAGGUUAUAGAAUUGCGUGAGAUAGAAAAUCUAUCUCACGAUUUCUUCUUACUUGGGAUGGAACCAUCACUUGACGUUCGGCGUUAUAAUGGAUGCAUUAUCGGUGGGGUACAAUUUUAUACGUUAAAAUAUGAUUCCCGAUGCACUACACAAAACAGUGGAGUGAUAGUAAUCGGUGAAAGCAAUGCCAGUGGAAGUGGCGACAACAAUUUCUACGGUGUUCUAAACGAAGUGUUACACGUUCAAUAUCCAAUAGGAAGAAGUGUUUGGCUAUUUAAGUAUCGAUGGUAUAACACCAACAACAACAAAAGCCAAAGGACACAUGUGAAAUUAAGGUACAAAGCAAUCAACAUGUCCCAUUUUUUGUUCAUCAAGGAACCGGUCAUUCUUGCGAUGCAAGCACAUCAAGUAUUUUACCUAAAUGACCCAAAAAAUGGUUGUAAUUGAAAAGUUGUCCAAGUGGUCCAGAAUAAGUGUAUAUGGGAUAUGUCGGAAGUGGACAAUGUUGAGAAUAAGCAACUGAAUGUACUCGAAAACGUUGUCAGCCAUCGAGUGGAUGGGCACAUUAAGGAUGACACUCUGUACAGGCCUAACGUUGAUCCUACAAUGAUUGAAAGAUCGAUUAUGUGUCAUGUCGCUGACGACUUCAUAAACGAUGGGGAUGAACAAUUGUCACAUCAAAGAGGAUCAAGCGAUGACGAAUGAUAGUGACGAACCACGUAUUUGUCAUCAUUCUCGAGUGGUUUCGAGGAGACAUAUCAGAUGUUCCUCGAGUUCGAUGAGGAUCUAAACACUGCAGGAGGGUAGUCCUCGAUGGGCAACAAUUCAAAAACUACUCAACCAUCUUGACUCUUAGAAGACGUGUGCAAUCUUGACUCUUGGAGUUGGAGAGGUACGUCCACGCCAAUGGUAGGAUUACCAUGUCCAUAGCCCCUAGCGUGGAGAAACCCAUUUCGCCACACGUUAUUCGGUUCUGUUAGGCCAUUGGCGUGUGUUUAAGGAAAACAUUUUCAGUCUGCUGCCUUAGGUGGGUUGAAGUUGGAAGAGAAUACAUCGAGUUCGUCAAGGGCGAU
Long non-coding RNA from Cucumis melo (muskmelon), 1195 nucleotides. RefSeq lists it as uncharacterized. The record is from RefSeq and is a predicted model, not a curated record. The transcript has 3 exons. Lineage: Eukaryota; Viridiplantae; Streptophyta; Magnoliopsida; Cucurbitales; Cucurbitaceae.